GUGAUUGGAGGAAAGUAGGGGAUCGCAAGACCUUGCGCUUUUGGAGUGGCCGAUGCCUGAUUAGCUAGUUGGUAGGGUAAUGGCUUACCAAGGCGACGAUCAGUAGUUGGUCUGAGAGGACGACCAGCCACACUGGGACUGAGACACGGCCCAGACUCCUACGGGAGGCAGCAGUGGGGAAUUUUGGACAAUGGGCGAAAGCCUGAUCCAGCAAUGCCGCGUGAGUGAAGAAGGCCUUCGGGUUGUAAAGCUCUUUCAGUCGAGAAGAAAAGGUUGUGACUAAUAAUCACAACUCAUGACGGUAUCGACAGAAGAAGCACCGGCUAACUACGUGCCAGCAGCCGCGGUAAUACGUAGGGUGCGAAGCGUUAAUCGGAAUUACUGGGCGUAAAGGGUGCGCAGGCGGCUUUGUAAGUCAGAUGUGA
RNAcentral lists this ribosomal RNA (425 nucleotides) under uncultured ammonia-oxidizing beta proteobacterium. RNAcentral's name for it is "bacterial SSU rRNA". It matches the Rfam family "Bacterial small subunit ribosomal RNA", at positions 192 to 597 of the family's 1533-position model. The record is from RNAcentral. Lineage: Bacteria; Pseudomonadati; Pseudomonadota; Betaproteobacteria.